GAAAGGAGAGCGUUUGUCUCCAUUUUGGCUUAACCUGCCCUGAUCCCAUGUACUGAUCUGCACAGAGCUGGCUAGGAAAGUUCUUUAUCUCCUUAACUGCCUUUAAGCAAUACAAAUGGGUCUAGCCAAGGUGCUGAUGUGUGGUCUUUAAAACAGUUCUACAGGUCAGUGAUGCUUAGCCGAUAGCUUCCAAUUACCAUGUCGGCUAGGACUGAACCUUGAGAAAGAACACGUGAAGCCACAAAGCAUGAAAACUAAGCAUCAAGGCUGGAGCACUGAUCCUAUACUUCCUCCAACUGUGCUAUGCAGAUUGCUCUUUUUGUGUACCUCUCUCCGCGUGUUGCAGAGGGGCUAUCAGACCUCCUGCCUUCCCCAGCUUCCAGCACUGAGGGACUGUUUACUUCACUGGAUGAAACUUCGCAUCGUGUCACAGGAUCACCAGAUGGGAUUGAAGGAGGCCCCGCGAAGAGGAAAUGGGAGACUUCAACCCACUUUCUCCUCCUGCCACAGAUGAGACCUCACCACCAAACCCAAGAUGAUAAUCAACAAGAUUACACUUCGGCUAACACUGCUGAACUAUGAAUGCCUCUUGCCUCCUGACCCAAAUUUUCCUCUAGAUGAGUCUCAGGUCACUGUAAGUACCCCUGAAAGCAGGGCUGUUUCUAGUAUAGAAAUGCUGAACAAA
This 685-nucleotide long non-coding RNA is filed under the name Cavia porcellus (domestic guinea pig). RNAcentral describes it as "lncRNA (ENSCPOG00000038495.1)". Lineage: Eukaryota; Metazoa; Chordata; Mammalia; Rodentia; Caviidae. The record is from RNAcentral.